AUUGAACGCUGGCGGCAUGCCUUACACAUGCAAGUCGAACGGCAGCACGGGUGCUUGCACCUGGUGGCGAGUGGCGAACGGGUGAGUAAUACAUCGGAACAUGUCCUGUAGUGGGGGAUAGCCCGGCGAAAGCCGGAUUAAUACCGCAUACGAUCUACGGAUGAAAGCGGGGGGCCUUCGGGCCUCGCGCUAUAGGGUUGGCCGAUGGCUGAUUAGCUAGUUGGUGGGGUAAAGGCCUACCAAGGCGACGAUCAGUAGCUGGUCUGAGAGGACGACCAGCGACACUGGGACUGAGACACGGCCCAUGCUCCUACGGGAGGCAGCAGUGGGGUAUUGUGGACAAUGGGCGAAAGCCUGGUCCAGCAAUGCCGCGUGUGUGAAGAAGGCCUUCGGGUUGUGAAGCACUUUUGUCCGGAAAGAAAUCCUUGGCCCUAAUACGGUCGGGGGAUGACGGUAACGGAAGAAUAAGCACCGGCUAACUACGUG
Molecule: ribosomal RNA, 486 nt
Filed under: uncultured bacterium
Lineage: Bacteria
Description: partial 16S ribosomal RNA
Rfam family: Bacterial small subunit ribosomal RNA
Source: RNAcentral